GAUGAAGAACGUAGCGAAAUGCGAUAAGUAAUGUGAAUUGCAGAAUUCAGUGAAUCAUCGAAUCUUUGAACGCACAUUGCGCCCGCCAGUAUUCUGGCGGGCAUGCCUGUUCGAGCGUCAUUUCAACCCUCAAGACCCCUUCGGGGGACUUGGUGUUGGGGACCGGCACAGGGGCCUGCCUGCUUGUCUUGCAGCGCCCUCGCCGCCCCCGAAAUGAAUUGGCGGCCUCGUCGCGGCCUCCCCUGCGUAGUAGCACAAACCUCGCAACGGGAACGUGACGGCGGCCACUGCCGUAAAACAACCCAAUUUUAUUAGAGUUGACCUCGAAUCAGGUAGGAAUACCCGCUGAACUUAAGCAUAUCAAUAACGGAGGA
RNAcentral lists this unclassified non-coding RNA (374 nucleotides) under soil metagenome. Its description in RNAcentral is "partial contains 5.8S ribosomal RNA, internal transcribed spacer 2, and large subunit ribosomal RNA". The stretch from base 1 to 120 matches the Rfam family "5.8S ribosomal RNA", at positions 35 to 154 of the family's 154-position model. The record is from RNAcentral.